Arachis duranensis is the source of this 552-nucleotide long non-coding RNA. RefSeq lists it as uncharacterized. NCBI's taxonomy places the organism in Eukaryota, Viridiplantae, Streptophyta, Magnoliopsida, Fabales, Fabaceae. The transcript is spliced from 2 exons. The record is from RefSeq and is a predicted model, not a curated record.
UUUCGAUCCUCGCUAAUCCCGGCGACGGCGAACUUCUUUCUCUGUACGGAACGCUGAUUUGGGAGACGCAGCGAGAUGAAGAGAGAGCCAAAUCUUACUUUGACCAGGCCGUUUACGCUGCUCCUGAUGAUUGCACGGUGCUGGGAUCCUAUGCGCACUUCAUGUGGGAAGCAGAGGAAGAAGAGGAGGAGGAGGAGGAAGUUAAUGGCUGUGUUUUAAAGUGAUUUUUGGUAUUUAGAGGUUGUAGAGAGUGCUAUAUUUUCUAUAAAUGGCAUUUGAAUCUGAAAGUUACAGAAUAAGGAUCGUUGUUGUUUGAUAUGUCUAACCGGAAAUAGCUCCAAGUUAUAGAAUAUCAGAGACUGAAAAGUAAAUGGCUGCCUCUGUCCCUUCACCCUUCUCCUCCGUUCUCGCCACUUCCGGAGACUGUAACAUUCUAAUAUAACUUUGUAGAUCCCGCUUAAAUUAUGUAUGAUAGAUAUUAUUGGGAUAGACAUGGACUUGUAAAAUUUUGUUAAUGCAAUUAAUAAUAGUGCUAAUCGUUUUUACCCAGCA